GACGAACGCUGGCGGCGUGCCUAACACAUGCAAGUCGAGCGGAGACAAUGGAAGUGCUUGCACAGAAAUUGUUUUAGCGGCGGACGGGUGAGUAACGCGUGAGCAACCUUUCUCUCAGUGGGGAAUAACACAGGGAAACUUGUACUAAUACCGCAUGAGACCACGGGACCGCAUGGUUCAGGGGUCAAAGAUUAAUCGCUGAGAGGUGGGCUCGCGUCUGAUUAGAUAGUUGGUGGGGUAACGGCCUACCAAGGCAACGAUCAGUAGCCGGCCUGAGAGGGUGACCGGCCACAUUGGGACUGAGACACGGCCCAAACCCCUACGGGAGGCAGCAGUGGGGAAUAUUGCACAAUGGGGGAAACCCUGAUGCAGCAACGCCGCGUGAGUGAAGAAGUAUUUCGGUAUGUAAAGCUCUAUCAGCAGGGAAGAAGAAAGACGGUACCUGACUAAGAAGCACCGGCUAAAUACGUG
RNAcentral lists this ribosomal RNA (471 nucleotides) under uncultured bacterium. RNAcentral's name for it is "bacterial SSU rRNA". It matches the Rfam family "Bacterial small subunit ribosomal RNA", at positions 28 to 507 of the family's 1533-position model. The record is from RNAcentral.